RNA transcript from Beta vulgaris subsp. vulgaris (sugar beet), 1086 nucleotides. RefSeq lists it as uncharacterized. The record is from RefSeq and is a predicted model, not a curated record. Lineage: Eukaryota; Viridiplantae; Streptophyta; Magnoliopsida; Caryophyllales; Amaranthaceae. The transcript is spliced from 3 exons.
GAUUUGCAGGGGUGCUCGCAUUCCUCCCACACAUAUUGAUUAUUAGCCAUAGACACCCCUGCACUUAACCGAGCAUCAAGUGGAAGCAAAGGGCAGAGACAUGAUCAUAAGUGCGUCAUCCUCAAGAUGUACUCAAGAGUUGAUUUAUCCCUGUUGCCGCUGAAGUUAAAUAGCUCCUCAUUAUUGUUACAGGCUUUUGGGAUCUAGUAUUACUAGGCUGUUGAAGCGGGCCUUCAGUUUGAGAAUACUUCGUAUGAAACAGAAGAUGACCGAAUCAGAACCUCGUGGGGGUAGAGAAACACUGUAAAAUGUAGUUAUUUUGGGCUGUUGAAGCAUCCGUGAUGUGAGAAUUUCUAAUAUGCCUUAAUAAUGCUAAAUUGAAAACAUUCAAUAAUAUUCUUCAUUUUGAUUGAUGCAUAUAAUUAUUACAAAAAAGGUUAUUUCAAGUGUUGUUAAUAAUUGUGUUAAAAUGGCAAGUGUGUCCAUUUGUCCUUCAGGUGUUGGAAACACAAAGUUGGUUAUCUUCAACAAAAUGAGAGUAGUAACUUGUAUCUGUAUUUUGCUUGCUUGUCUCUUUCUCCUAUAUCCAGUAUAAAUAAUAUGUACAACGAAGUCAUAUCUAUAACAUGAACCUUCUACUAAGAACUGGCAGAUACGACUUUUGUUUUGUGUUGAUGAUCUUCCAUGGGAAUCAUUUAUUUGCUAUACUCUCAGUAAAGAUCAGAAACUCAUAGACAAUAUAUGACACAUAUUUAUGAAACAUUCCUUUUAUGCGAGCUAAAGGAAUGAAGCCAUUAAAGUCGAGAACAAAAAAAAAAAAAGGCACAGUAACUUUUUUUUUUUCUGGUGAGUAGUACUAGUAGUCAUUUCAGUAGGAUAUACUUCCACUUUAUUUUGUUUUUUUGGUGCACAUCCACUUUAUUUCACAGAACUUGUCAUUUUUUCACGAAUUGGAAAUAAAUUGUAACUAUUAUCUCACAAGUAUAUUGAUAAAAUUGCAUAAACAAAUGAAAGUUGUGUUUAUUUAGGAUUUUUAUUCUAUUAUCCUCUAAUUGCUGAAUGAAUGAUUUCAGUAUCUGGUGUUCA